Molecule: ribosomal RNA, 116 nt
Filed under: Postmonorcheides maclovini
Lineage: Eukaryota; Metazoa; Platyhelminthes; Trematoda; Plagiorchiida; Monorchiidae
Description: partial 5.8S ribosomal RNA
Rfam family: 5.8S ribosomal RNA
About the family: 5.8S ribosomal RNA (5.8S rRNA) is a component of the large subunit of the eukaryotic ribosome. It is transcribed by RNA polymerase I as part of the 45S precursor that also contains 18S and 28S rRNA.
Source: RNAcentral
CAACUUUGAGCGGUGGAUCACUCGGCUCGUGUGUCGAUGAAGAGCGCAGCCAACUGUGUGAAUUAAUGUGAACUGCAUACUGCUUUGAACAUCGACAUCUUGAACGCACAUUGCGA